This 1067-nucleotide long non-coding RNA is filed under the name Mytilus galloprovincialis (Mediterranean mussel). Lineage: Eukaryota; Metazoa; Mollusca; Bivalvia; Mytilida; Mytilidae. The record is from RNAcentral.
UAAACAAAUAUUUGUUUAUUAUUGUUUUUAAAAUAAAGACAUGAUCUACAGUUCUGUAAUUUUUUUCUAAAACCACCUUGAUUUGAAAAUAAUAAAUUAUGUGUUUCAAGAAAAUCACCAAGUCGUUUUUGUAAAAUGGAUGUAAAGACUUUACCAAGACAGCUUGUUAUGCUUAUACCUCUAUAGUUCCCACAAUCAGAUGGGUCACCAGAUUUAUAAAUUGAUGUCAAUAGAGAAAUGUUCCAAAUUUUGGGGAAUUUUUCUGAGUUAAGUAUCUUAUUAAAAAGUUUGGUCAAAAGUAAAACUAGAGUGUUUGACCACACCUUUAGAAAUUCAUUAAUUAUCAAAUCAGGACCUCCAGAUUUUCCCUUUUUUAACUUCUUAAUACAGUCUUUGAUUUCUUUACGUGUAAUAGGGACAUUAAGGGAUGUAUUAGAAAAGUUGUGAUUUUUGUUCUCUAUAUUUUGAUUUGUAUCAGUUGUAUCAUUAUUACUUGAAGCAAGCAAAUUUCUAUAGUGAAUCUCCCAUUCUUUGGCAGAAAUAGCAGGCUCACAAUUAUUAUUCUUUUUUUUGUAAUUAUUAAUGCUUCCCCAAAAUUUUUUGGUGUUCUUUGGGUUUAUCUCAUUUAUUUGUUUUAUUAAGGAAUGAAAAAAAUACUUUUUUAAUUUAUUUUUCAAUUUAUUGUACUCUCUUUUACAGUUGCAAUAAGUCAAUCAUAAUUACCGGUAGGGGCUUUACCUAAUUUAUUUCCAAGGGAACGCACUUUUCUAAGGAGUAAGCAAUCAUUUGACAUCCAUACUUUUUUUUAGGUUUUUCUUUUUUUUGUGUGUCUUUGCAAUAUGGAUUUUUAAAAAUUGCUUUAGGGAGCUACCAUUUGAUUUUUAGGGGGGGGGGGGGCUAGGAUGAAAUUUGAAAAAAAAGGCAGGACAGGAUUUUGAGUAAAAAAAAAAGGCAGGAUGAGUAACUUGGCAAAAAAAAAUGGCAGGAUGACAAUUAUUGUAAAAAAGUCAGGAUAAGCUAAGAAAUAAAAAAGGCAGGACCAAAUAGACUGAAAAAUAAAAAUACAG